Molecule: ribosomal RNA, 251 nt
Filed under: uncultured prokaryote
Description: partial 16S rRNA
Rfam family: Bacterial small subunit ribosomal RNA
Source: RNAcentral
ACGGAGGAUCCGAGCGUUAUCCGGAUUUAUUGGGUUUAAAGGGUGCGUAGGCGGUUCAAUAAGUCAGUGGUGAAAGUUUUCGGCUUAACCGGAAAAUUGCCGUUGAUACUGUUGGGCUUGAAUUUGGUUGCUGUGAGUGGAAUGUGUGGUGUAGCGGUGAAAUAAUGAGAUAUUUGACGGAAUAACGAUUGCGAAGGCGUCUCACACAGCCGAUAUUGACGCUGAUGCACGAAAGUGAUGUGAGCAUACAG